GGGUCGUUUUCUGAGCCCUUGCACGGCAAGGGAUCUCGGGAAUCUCCAGUUGGCUUUUAACCGAUUGGUCCUGAGUUCGAAUCUCAGACGACCCA
RNAcentral lists this transfer RNA (95 nucleotides) under Vulcanococcus sp. Clear-D1. RNAcentral describes it as "tRNA-Lys". The record is from RNAcentral. Lineage: Bacteria; Bacillati; Cyanobacteriota; Cyanophyceae; Synechococcales; Synechococcaceae.